RNAcentral lists this ribosomal RNA (658 nucleotides) under Acarospora sp. EH-2022t. RNAcentral's name for it is "SSU rRNA". It matches the Rfam family "Bacterial small subunit ribosomal RNA", at positions 383 to 1128 of the family's 1533-position model. Lineage: Eukaryota; Fungi; Ascomycota; Lecanoromycetes; Acarosporales; Acarosporaceae. The record is from RNAcentral.
CUAGUUGUAUUAUUAGUUAAUGCAAGAUCGACUACGUCGACUAAAGUUCUAGGUAGAAUAAUGAUGAUGACAAUUUUUUACCUAUAUGUCUUGACCAAGUCUCGUGCCAGCAGUCGCGGUAAUACGUGGAAGACUAGUGUUAUUCAUCUUUAUUAGGUUUAAAGGGUACCUAGACGGUAUUUCUAGCCCAAAAUAGGGUACGGAUUUACUAGAGUUUUAUGUGAGGAGGGGAGUACUCGUGGAGUAGAGAUGAAAUUUUGUUAUACUAUGAGGUAACUGGUGGCGGCGAAAGCAACCUUCUAUGUAUAAACUGACGUUGAGGGACGAAGGCUUGGGUAGCAAAUAGGAUUAGAUACCCUAGUAGUCCAAGCAGACAAUUCUGAAUGCCAUAGAUUAGAUUAUUUUUGGUCUAUAAAUGAAAGUGUAAGCAUUCCACCUUAGGAGUAAUGUGGCAACACAGGAACUGAAAUCAUUAGACCGUUUCUGAAACCAGUAGUGAAGUAUGUUAUUUAAUUUGAUGGUCCACAAAAAACCUUACCACAACUUGAAUAUUUUUUAAUUAAUACAAGCGUUGCACGGCUGUCUUCAGUUAAUGUCGUGAGAUUUUGGUUAACUCCAUUAAUUAACGUAAACCCUUACUUUAUUUAUUUUUUUUUAU